RNAcentral lists this ribosomal RNA (489 nucleotides) under uncultured bacterium. RNAcentral's name for it is "partial 16S ribosomal RNA". It matches the Rfam family "Bacterial small subunit ribosomal RNA", at positions 30 to 507 of the family's 1533-position model. The record is from RNAcentral.
AUUGAACGCUGGCGGCAGGCCUAACACAUGCAAGUCGAACGGUAACAGGAAACAGCUUGCUGUUUCGCUGACGAGUGGCGGACGGGUGAGUAAUGUCUGGGAAACUGCCUGAUGGAGGGGGAUAACUACUGGAAACGGUAGCUAAUACCGCAUAACGUCGCAAGACCAAAGAGGGGGACCUUCGGGCCUCUUGCCAUCGGAUGUGCCCAGAUGGGAUUAGCUAGUAGGUGGGGUAACGGCUCACCUAGGCGACGAUCCCUAGCUGGUCUGAGAGGAUGACCAGCCACACUGGAACUGAGACACGGUCCAGACUCCUACGGGAGGCAGCAGUGGGGAAUAUUGCACAAUGGGCGCAAGCCUGAUGCAGCCAUGCCGCGUGUAUGAAGAAGGCCUUCGGGUUGUAAAGUACUUUCAGCGGGGAGGAAGGGAGUAAAGUUAAUACCUUGCUCAUUGACGUUACCCGCAGAAGAAGCACCGGCUAACUCCGUG